CACGCCGUAAACGCUGAUUACUAGGUGUAGGGGGUAUAGACUCCCUCUGUGCCGCAGUUAACGCAUUAAGUAAUCCACCUGGGGAGUACGGCCGCAAGGUUAAAACUCAAAGGAAUUGACGGGGGCCCGCACAAGCAGUGGAGUAUGUGGUUUAAUUCGAAGCAACGCGAAGAACCUUACCAAGGCUUGACAUCCUCUGACCGCUGUAGAAAUACAGCUUCUCUUCGGAGCAGAGAGACAGGUGG
RNAcentral lists this ribosomal RNA (245 nucleotides) under uncultured Eubacteriales bacterium. RNAcentral's name for it is "uncultured Clostridiales bacterium partial 16S ribosomal RNA". It matches the Rfam family "Bacterial small subunit ribosomal RNA", at positions 796 to 1041 of the family's 1533-position model. Lineage: Bacteria; Bacillati; Bacillota; Clostridia; Eubacteriales. The record is from RNAcentral.